UACGUAGGGUGCGAGCGUUGCCCGGAUUUAUUGGGCGUAGAGGGCGCGUAGGCGGCCACGCACGUCCGUUGUGAAAUCGCCCGGCUCAACUGGGCGGGGUCGGCGGAUACGGCGUGGCUGGAGCAAGCUAGGGGGCAAUGGAAUUCCCGGUGUAGUGGUGGAAUGCGUAGAUAUCGGGAGGAACACCAGUGGCGAAGGCGGUUGCCUGGAGCUUUGCUGACGCUGAGGAGCGAAAGCGUGGGGAGCGAACAGG
Molecule: ribosomal RNA, 253 nt
Filed under: uncultured bacterium
Lineage: Bacteria
Description: partial 16S ribosomal RNA
Rfam family: Bacterial small subunit ribosomal RNA
Source: RNAcentral